Long non-coding RNA from Magnolia sinica, 4360 nucleotides. RefSeq lists it as uncharacterized. The record is from RefSeq and is a predicted model, not a curated record. Lineage: Eukaryota; Viridiplantae; Streptophyta; Magnoliopsida; Magnoliales; Magnoliaceae. The transcript has 8 exons.
CUUUGGAUGAAUGAUCAGGGCCCGGAUGCAUCAAUGGCGUAAGCAGUUGUCCUGAUGUGUUCAUUAUGUACAAGUGUCGGCUGUUGUUCGAAGAUCCAGACCAUCGAGCCAACGGCCUCAUUUUUAGACGGUGACUCCUGGACUGGAGGUCCUUCCCUCAUCAUCGAAUCUUUGGUCUUUUUCUAGACAUUUGCUGUAUUUCAUUCUUCAUGGCUGUCUAUUUUGUUGGCUAUUUAUGAAAGGAUAAGGGAGCCAUCAGAUCAAGUCUGGAUCCCUGAACUAAACUUGUAUGGGAUGGGCAUAUCAGGAUGCUAUUCAUGAUGCAUCAGAAUCCAAUAAUUCAUCUAUGGCCUGUUUGGAUGCACAACUGAAUUGAAUCGUGAAGGUUCUUUUUUGUCAAGAAAGAUGACAAGAAUUACUGUUCCCCAGCAUUCAUACACAGGCAAUGGCCCUCAAAUUGCACUCACAUUCCUUCAUCAAAAGUAGCUGAACAAUGGUUUGCUUGUUUCCCUUUAAUAGACUCAUACCCAUCUCUUGCACUUUAAUUUCGAAAAGAGUUUGUUUCAGUCCACAUUAGCAAUCUCAAGUGAGGAUGGUUGGAAGUAGUGGAUGAUGUGAUGCAAGCAGAAACUCCUGUUUCUGAAUGGAAUCACCCUCCAGAAGGCUCUCUUCAUCUAAAUUUUGAUGGUAGCCGGGCCAGUAAUCUGGGUCAGGUGGGAGUUGUGGGGAUCAUUUGUGAUUCCUCUAGAGUUUUUGGGGUUCUGUCAAGACUCAGGACCUGCGGGGUCUUCUGAUUUUAAUGAAACUGAAAAUGAGCUUCUCUGAACAGGUGAAAGAGUUCAUUUGCAACUUUUAUGGGCCUCCUGUAAUGGAAGGUGAUUCUCCAAUGCUUCAAGGUGGAUGAGCUCUUUUUCCAAUUAUCCAUGGCGGCAGGUGGAAGAGGUGGUCAGGAGGCAUUCCCAGUACAGUUUAUCAUGCUCAUAUCCUAUCUCCUAAGUGAAGCUUAUUGAAGGCAAUACCUUGUUGAGUGGAGAAGAAGCAGAUGGCUUCUGCUCUGCUCCUCAGACGCUUCUACUGCUGCAGCAGCAGCACCAAUGGAGCUUCUGCUCUUGACCCAACAAGGAAGAAGAAGCAACUCGUUUUCAUGGCUCUCCUCAGGCAUUUCAUUCAUCUCCUCUCUCUCGCUCCUUCAUCAAUUCAUUGACCAUUUCUCUGUAUAUAUCCUUCCAUUUUUAUUUUUUAUUUUUUUUGCAGGUCUCAGCAUCAGUUCUAGACAUUCUAAUGAAUGCUUCUACAGAGCCUAAUCCCAUGUUUCAGAUCGUUUGUCAGCUGGGCCCCACUUUGGAAGGACCGUUGCCUGAAAAAUUCUCCUGGAUAGGGCCAUCAUAAGCUCUCAAUAAUUUGGUUUGCAAAGUGACAGUUUAGAAGUGAAAUGUGGCAAUGGUCCACAUUCGGCUUUCAAUCUGGGAGGGUUGGGAAGUGUGGUCCAUCCACAGCAGGUCACAUACCCAAGAAUAUAUGAAGCAUGCUUGAGUCUUCAAGUUAAGCUUCCUUUAUUUCAGGGGACUUCACUUCUUUAAAUCUUACUGCGUCGAUGCUUGUCCAUAUAAAAUUUACUGCUAAAAGAAAAGAAUGGCUGAUUGAGAAGCUGAGGAAGUUUGAGGUCCCCAAAGCUCCAAAAUAUAUUUUCCUAUCAUUUGUCUAAUGGGACAUUCACCAAUACACUCCGCCAGCACUCUUAUGUAACCUGUCUUGCUGCAGCAGAAAAAAAAUGUUACCACACGCAUCCUAACAAUCCAAUUAUUUGCUCGUCGAGAAGCUGAUAGUAAGAGGCAUAACAUUGUUGUCAUCCAGGUAAAUUCUCUCUCUCGGUUUUCCUAUACACUUCAGUGACAUCUACCUGUUUGGGUGAAUUUUUGGACUCCUGUUUUAUUUAUUUACACUAGUAGGUCAUUUCUGAAAAUAAGGGGUAGUUGUUCAUACAGAAAUCGUUUGUUCAUACAGAUUUCUUGUGUCUCAGUUGUGAAACUCUAGAGGUGGUGGAAGAGAGUUUUGGUUCUAACGUCUAGAACAAAAUCAGCAGUCAUUAUUCAGACUGUUUAUAUUCAAAAUCAGUCAAAUUAGACUGUUUAUUUUUCACCAACCUGUUCAUAAAGUCAAAUAAACCUAGAUGGAGGGAAAACAUUAAAAUCAGCUUGAUCUAAAACUUCUGUGGCCCACAAAGCCACGCCUAUCCUUGGAAACUUCUUGAGGGCCAUAACAGUUUUGGAUCAAGCUGAUGUUUGUGUUUUCCCUUCAUCUAGGUCUGUGUGACCUUAUGAAGAGGUUGGUGGAAAAUAAACAUCAUGGUAGGCCCCACAUAGAUCUGCCUGUUCCUGGGUAGAGAUGGCAGAGGUAGGACGCAAUCCGCUUCAGAAAAGAAGGGGCAUAGCUUGGCUGGUGACCUCAACACCAGCAAGCUGUUUCUGGUGUCAAAGCUCUAUGGGCCCCACUAUGAUGCAUGUGUCCAUUUUGUUAUUUCAUUUUAGGGGAUGAGCCCAAAAGUAAGGCAGAUCCAAAGCUCAAGUGGUCCAUACCAUAGGAAAUGAUGGGGAUUAAAUGCCGAAACUUCCCGAGGCCAGAAAAUUUUUAGAUCAAGCUGAUAUUUUUUAUUUCCCUCCAUUUGGUUAUGUUUAGUUCUUCUAUUCUUCUGUUAAAUUAUGAAAAAACAUAAUGGAGAUCAUAGAUCCGAGACUUCUCUUAGAAGAUGCUGAAGCUACUCAAGACGGUGAAAAUCAUAACAAUUUGAGAAAUAGGAUGCAUGAUUGUUUGGUUUCAUUGGUCAGAGUUGGUAUAUCGUGUUCUGCAGAAGUGCCAAGGGAACGAAUGGAGAUGAGAGACAUUGCCACAGAAAUGCAUGCUAUAUGAGACUUAUAUCUCGAGGUCGGGAUUCAGCGACAAAGACAAAAUACGCCUUAUUGUUAGGUGAAGGUUCAUCUUACCUUAGUAACUACUAAGAUUAGAUUAGUAGUUACAAUGAAGAAGAUUCCGAUAUAAAAUAAAACUGCUUAAUAUUUUUCUAAGCAGCAUUAGAUAUAUAUUGUUCUAGUAUUGAAUCUAUGGUGAAGAUGUUUUUUUUUUUUUUGGUAUCUUGUUUAAGACAGGAAGAUUGUAUUAUAAAUAUCACGGGAAGAAAUACUUCUCAAAAUAAAGAGAAUAAUGGGUACCCCGUCUUAUUAAGUUACGGUUAGAAUGUGAAUGUGAAUCGUUGCUGUUAUUGUCCAGAGGGAAUAAAAGGACCAAAGUGCUACAUACAAUGGGCAUAUGACCACCGACCACUGAUUAGAUAAAUAUGAUUGUUCAAUGGAGGUUUGGUCCAUAGCCCAUCCAUUGAGGUGCCAAAAGGAUGGAGGAUUGUCAAGGUGGGCAUUAUCUAAUUGUGAUUGAAUGCCCACCAUUAAAAACUUCAUGCAGCCCACUCAAUGUUUAUUUGCCAUCAAACCGGUUGAUAAAGUCACAUAGACCUGCAUCAAGGAAUCAAAAACAAAGAUAUCAGCUUGAUACAAAACUUUUAUCGUCAUCAGGAAUUUUCUAAUGGUGGUCGUUCAAUCACCCCUGUUUCCUGUGGUGUGGUCCACCGGAGAUUCAGAUCUGCUUUAUUUUUGGGCCCAUUCCAUAAAAUCAGUUGGAAAAAUGGAUGGACCGUCUAUAACACUAGCUAGUCUAUCUGAGGUUUUGGCCUUUGCAGUUGGAAGUUUCAUUCCAAUGCCUAUGUGCCCUGUAUUCUCCAUGUUUGCAGGUAAGAACAUUUUUCUAUUGAUAAUAUUCAUUUUUCACUUUGUUUCAAGGUACACUGAUCUAUCUGAUUUAUUGCAGCAUUGGCAGUUUUCUCACACGGACCUCCUUGUUACAGAUGAUCAAUCCAUCUAAUGCUUCUAAGCAUACAUGAUUUAGAAAAGUAUAGCAAUGGCUCACAUGCUCUACUUGUCGGCGGUUUCUUCUAGUUAAUCACUAUCUUUGGAGUGUUCAAAUUUGAGAAACGAUCUAUUUAGCUAAGUGUAUAGAAACCAACACAUGACCAUCAGAAUGGGAGAUUACUGUGGCAUGACUUGAAGAAGGGCGAUUUCUAUCAUCUAAUGGCAACUCCAAAGUCCUUGCACUUAUCAUCUUAGUCUUGCCAUCCAACAAUAUUUGAUCACAGAAAGAUCUAAUCCAGCUGUGUAGAUAUGAAUUAGUCUUCUUCUUUUUUUUCUUUUUUUCUUUUCCUCAUUUUAAAGGGUGUUUUAUGUUUUUAAGCAUUUAUUUGUUUUAUGAAGAUAUGAUGUGGGUUUUCUUUUCCUUUUUAACUCUUUUUUCUUUUCUUGUUUUGUUGGUGGCUGUG